This 253-nucleotide ribosomal RNA is filed under the name uncultured bacterium. RNAcentral's name for it is "partial 16S ribosomal RNA". It matches the Rfam family "Bacterial small subunit ribosomal RNA", at positions 524 to 776 of the family's 1533-position model. The record is from RNAcentral.
UACGUAGGGUGCGAGCGUUAAUCGGAAUUACUGGGCGUAAAGGGUGCGUAGGCGGCUUUCUAAGUUGGAUGUGAAAACUAUGGGCUCAACCCAUAGCCUGCAUCCAAAACUGGAGAGCUUGGGUUCUGGAGGGGAAAGCGGAAUUCCUGGUGUAGCGGUGAAAUGCGUAGAUAUCAGGAGGAACACCGGUGGCGAAGGCGGCUUUCUGGACAGAAACUGACGCUGAUGCGCGAAAGCUAGGGGAGCAAACAGG